This 308-nucleotide ribosomal RNA is filed under the name uncultured bacterium. RNAcentral describes it as "bacterial SSU rRNA". It matches the Rfam family "Bacterial small subunit ribosomal RNA", at positions 28 to 334 of the family's 1533-position model. The record is from RNAcentral.
GACGAACGCUGGCGGCGUGCUUAACACAUGCAAGUCGAACGGAAAGGCCCUGCUUUUGUGGGGUGCUCGAGUGGCGAACGGGUGAGUAACACGUGAGCAACCUGCCCUUGACUUUGGGAUAACUUCAGGAAACUGGGGCUAAUACCGGAUAGGAGCUCCUGCUGCAUGGUGGGGGUUGGAAAGUUUCGGCGGUUGGGGAUGGACUCGCGGCUUAUCAGCUUGUUGGUGGGGUAGUGGCUUACCAAGGCCUUGACGGGUAGCCGGCCUGAGAGGUAGAACAGCCGCAAUGGGACUGAGACACGGCCCAU